GGGAAGCUGAGCCCAGACACCAGGUAGGGACUCCCCGAGGGCGCAGACUUUCUUCCCUGUGACUAUAUCCAGCACUGGGUAGCACCCUCGGUCCAAGAGCCGUCCCUGGUGCUAUCUAUUCAUUCAGCAGUGUCCUCCAAAUGCUCUUGAACCAGAACUACAGUGACACGGAGAUGCGACUCAGUGGCAGCUUCCCUGGGUGCUUGUUGGGGGUGUGCUCAUGUCCCCCCGGGAGCUGUCUUCUUGCCAGUGGCUCGAGGGAAAAGCAGUACUUAGACAGAGGUAAGGAUAUAGAUGACAUCCACAUACAUAUUGACCAAAAAAGAGAAGAAAAGAAAAAAAGAAAAAAAGAAAAAAAGGAGAAAUACACUCUGCAAGCAAAGAGAAGGCACAAAAAAAGGUCAGUUUGAGAUGGCGAUUCCUGCCCAAAUUCCAUAUUUCAUCAGCAUUGUGCAGAAAACCUUUUGUGUUUAAUUUCCCCAGUGACCUUCCAAGUAUAUUAUGAAGACAAUUAAAACCUGUAUCCCAGAACCACAAAGUUUGCAGUGACCGGGCUAAGGUUAAUCAGUGCGAAUUGGGUGAAACAGCUUGUUCAAGUAAAAUUGAUUGAAAUCUUGAUGAGCAAAAAUGGAAAUUUUGCCUGCCAGUAUUGGCUCCCUUUUCUUAAGAACACGGCUGUGUAAGAUUUUUUAAAGUACUACUAGAAUCUCAUGCAAGCUUUUGUAAGAUGCCCAAGAAAUUGAUCGGGGUAAAGACCUAGGAUAUUUGCCAUUUGUGGAACUGUAAACAUAUAGCAAUUUAACUGAUUUUGAUACUUGGUAUGAUUUUUCCUUUAACCAAUGUCUCCCAAAUUUUGUACUUAUGUGGAUUUCAUGUGGGUGUGAAUCUAUAAAAUUGACCCAGAUUCUCUCUCAGCAGUAGAAUUGAUCUUUUUUUUUUUUUUUCCUACGUGCCUUGUAAAACAUAUCCAUGAGCUUGCCUGAUGAAACUGAGAAGAGAAUUUCUUCAAAUACCCGAAUUAUUUGCUAAACGUGUUUCUAGUUUGAACAUCUGUGGACUGUACACGUAAAUAUGGAGUCAACGUGAGAGAAUCUUGACCAUGCUGGAAACGGCAGCAAUGCUGACAUUCUCCUUCCACCCAAGAGCCAGCCCACAACCGGGGAAGCUGUCAGGACAUGAGGGCCGGGCUGACACCACCAUCCCUGGGCCGCUCGAAGCCGCCCCUUCUGCAGAGACAAACCCGCGCACCUGCUGGCUGGGCCGACCUGGAAAAAGCCAUUCAACAGGAUCCCUGGGACGCGCAGUCGGCCUCACGUCCUGAUUAAAGGUGCAGGCAGGGAAAGCUGGCAAGUGCAGGCCAAGUGAGACGAAUAUGGAAAGACAUUCCAGUUGUCGGGGACCCGUGUCACUUGCUCCUGGCAGAUGUGUUUGGAUUUGCGUCCCCAGGUCUUGACGGUUGUUCCCCACUUAGAUUCCGCAAGGUUUCUGCCGGAAUGGAAGAGGUGAUCUACCUGUAGUCAGGUUUCCCUUUGGAAAAACAUUUUCUGAGACGUGAAAAGUUGAGAAGAUAAAUAGCGCCACCCCAGUCUCC
Prionailurus viverrinus (fishing cat) is the source of this 1591-nucleotide long non-coding RNA. RefSeq lists it as uncharacterized. The transcript is spliced from 4 exons. The record is from RefSeq and is a predicted model, not a curated record. NCBI's taxonomy places the organism in Eukaryota, Metazoa, Chordata, Mammalia, Carnivora, Felidae.